This 497-nucleotide ribosomal RNA is filed under the name uncultured bacterium. Its description in RNAcentral is "partial 16S ribosomal RNA". It matches the Rfam family "Bacterial small subunit ribosomal RNA", at positions 28 to 507 of the family's 1533-position model. The record is from RNAcentral.
GACGAACGCUGGCGGCGUGCCUAAUACAUGCAAGUUGAGCGAUGAAGCUUGGAGCUUGCACCAAUUUGAAGAGCAGCGAACGGGUGAGUAACGCGUGGGGAAUCUGCCUUUGAGCGGGGGACAACAUUUGGAAACGAAUGCUAAUACCGCAUAACAACUUUAACCAUAAGUUUUAAGUUUGAAAGAUGCCAUUGCAUCACUCAAAGAUGAUCCCGCGUUGUAUUAGCUAGUUGGUGAGGUAAAGGCUCACCAAGGCGAUGGUACAUAGCCGACCUGAGAGGGGGAGCGGCCACAUUGGGACUGAGACACGGCCCAAACUCCUACGGGAGGCAGCAGUAGGGAAUCUUCGGCAAUGGACGAAAGUCUGACCGAGCAACGCCGCGGGAGUGAAGAAGGGUGUCGGAUCGUAAAACUCUGUUGGUAGAGAAGAACGUUGGUGGGAGUGGAAAGCGCAUCAAGUGACGGUAACUACCCAGAAAGGGACGGCUAACUACGUG